AUACGGAGGAUCCGAGCGUUAUCCGGAUUUAUUGGGUUUAAAGGGUGCGCAGGCGGCCAUUUAAGUCAGCGGUUAAAUCGUGGGGCUCAACCCCAUUCUGCCGUUGAUACUGGGUGGCUUGAUUGCGGUCGAGGUUGGCGGAAUUCGUUGUGUAGCGGUGAAAUGCAUAGAUAUGACGAAGAACACCGAUUGCGUAGGCAGCUGACCAGACCGCAAAUGACGCUCAUGCACGAAAGUGCGGGGAUCGAACAGGAUUAGAUACCCUUGUAGGCCGCACAGGAAACGAUGAAUACUUGUUUUAGGCGAUAUAAUGUCGGAGGCAAAGCGAAAGCGAUAAGUAUUCACCCUGGGGAGUACGCCGGCAACGGUGAAACUUAAAGGAAUUGACGGGG
This 392-nucleotide ribosomal RNA is filed under the name uncultured bacterium. Its description in RNAcentral is "partial 16S ribosomal RNA". It matches the Rfam family "Bacterial small subunit ribosomal RNA", at positions 523 to 918 of the family's 1533-position model. The record is from RNAcentral.